UACGUAGGGGGCAAGCGUUGUCCGGAAUUAUUGGGCGUAAAGAGCGUGUAGGCGGUCCGGUAAGUCUGCUCUGAAAGCCCGGGGCUCAACCCUGGGAGGCGGGUGGAUACUGCUGAGCUUGAGUCCGGAAGAGGCGAGUGGAAUUCCUGGUGUAGCGGUGAAAUGCGCAGAUAUCAGGAGGAACACCAAUGGCGAAGGCAGCUCGCUGGGACGGUACUGACGCUGAGACGCGAAAACGUGGGGAGCAAACAGG
This 253-nucleotide ribosomal RNA is filed under the name uncultured bacterium. RNAcentral describes it as "partial 16S ribosomal RNA". It matches the Rfam family "Bacterial small subunit ribosomal RNA", at positions 524 to 776 of the family's 1533-position model. The record is from RNAcentral.